AAUAUUGGACAAUGGGCGAAAGCCUGAUCCAGCCAUGCCGCGAGUGUGAAGAAGGUCUUCGGAUUGUAAAGCAUUUUAAGUUGGGAGGAAGGGUUGUAGGUUAAUACCCUUCAAUUUUGACGUUACCAAUAGAUUAAGCACCGGCUAACUUCGUGCCAGCAGCCGAGGUAAUACGAAGGGUGCAAGCGUUAAUCGGAAUUACUGGGCGUAAAGCGUGCGUAGGUGGUUCGUUAAGUUGGAAGUGAAAGCCCCGGGCUCAACCUGGGAACUGCUUUCAAAACUGACGAGCUAGAGUACGGUAGAGGGUAGUGGAAUUUCCUGUGUAGCGGUGAAAUGCGUAGAUAUAGGAAGGAACAUCAGUGGCGAAGGCGACCACCUGGGCUAAUACUGACACUGAGGUGCGAAAGCGUGGGGAGCAAACAGG
Molecule: ribosomal RNA, 424 nt
Filed under: uncultured bacterium
Lineage: Bacteria
Description: partial 16S ribosomal RNA
Rfam family: Bacterial small subunit ribosomal RNA
Source: RNAcentral